UUGAUGGGUUGGGUCAAAAACUGCCACCCCUACCCAAAUCUCUCUCAAAUCUGAGCACGAAACCGGAGAUCUCCGCUCCCCCCGUCCUCGCCCCAAAUCUGAGCCGCCGCGAGAUCCCUCAGACCAAGCCCUCUUCAUUUUCCUCUGAGCCGCUGCGAGUCCCCUUUGAGCCUCCCCGAGUUCCCUCUAUGCGCUGCCAGUUGUUCCCCGCGAGUCCCCUCUGAGCCGCCGUGAAUCCCCUCUGAGCCGUCGCGAGUCCAAAUUAUUUCUUUCUUCACCGCUGUUUAUAUCGCGAGACAUCCGACUCUGGCAUCAGGCUUCGAUUCUACCACCGGAACUCGAUUCGGAGCUGUGGAUCAUGGAGUCAUCUUCAAGUAAUUGUCAUGGAUUGUUGUGCCAUUGUGGAAGGAGGGCUAUACUAUCCAGAUCUGGAACUAAGACGAACCCUGGUCGAUUGUUUUUGGGAUGCGCUAAUUGAAAAGUGAGUAAUUGUGGAUUCUUCAAAUGGGUAUCUGAUGAAGAAGAGUUUGAAGGUUCAAAGGCAGAGCUUGUUCAGACGAAGCAGUCAAGCGUGGCGCCGCAAGUUUCAAGAGCCGUGUCAAGUGGAGAAGUGUGGGAAAAGAGAAAGAUUGAGAUUGAUAUUAUGGAUUUGUUGAAGCUUGUUAUAUUUGCUCUUUUAUUGGUAUUUUUCUAGAAUUUGUAUUUGGUAUUUUUUUGGAUUUGUGCUAAGUAGGGUGUAAGAAUGUAUUAUAGGAUUUGUUGAAGUGUAUGUUCUCUGCAUGUUCUUACA
Long non-coding RNA from Asparagus officinalis (garden asparagus), 790 nucleotides. RefSeq lists it as uncharacterized. NCBI's taxonomy places the organism in Eukaryota, Viridiplantae, Streptophyta, Magnoliopsida, Asparagales, Asparagaceae. The transcript has 2 exons. The record is from RefSeq and is a predicted model, not a curated record.